CACCCGAAAACAUAGAGAAAGCCCACCCCACUCCCCAGCAUCUUCUCGAACCACCUCUCCCCGACGGCUCCGCCCCCUGCUCCCACGCGCCACAGCCCGCCGUACCCCUGCUCCCAUGCGCCGCCGCCCGCCGCCUCCUUUCUCCCACGCGCCGCUGCCCGCCGCCUCCCUGCUCCCACACGCCGCCGCCCGCUGCCUCCCUCCUCCCAUGCACAGCCGCCGCCGGCCACCUGCCCCUCCCUACCCACGCGCCGCCGCCGGCCGCCUGCCCCUCCCUACCCACGUGCUACCCCCGCCGAGCCAGCCUGCUCCUUCCGCUCCGCCGUCCACGUCGCCUCGCUAGCCACCUUCUCCCCCGCCGUCGCGCGCCUUCUGGCCGGUGCUCCUUACGGCACCGCUCGCCGCCCCUUCUCCAACCUGUAGCUCUGCCGCCGUGCUGUCCUCAUCGGCCUCGGCUACGUACCUCAGUACAAUCCCGUCGUCCCAGGCCGUUCACUUUUGCCACACGCACACGGCGUCUCUCCGGCGACUGCGGCCGGGAACAUGCGGCCCUACUCCCUGCUUGAUUCUCUCCUACCCAGCUCCUGACGGCCCGUGGAGAAGGCAGAGAAGUCAGUGUGUGUUAUUUGUAAAUUCUCUUCCCCCUAUCUCAUUUCAUUUAUGUUCUGGAUAUGAUGUUCAUGAUGGAAAAUUUGUGUAUGGUGUAGUUCUUGUUUAGAUGUGGGGCAAGUUCCAAACAAUAGAACUUGAGAAAUUUGAAAACCCGAAUUACUGGGGAGUUUGCUGGAAACAAAUCAUGUAAUCGAGCUCGUCCAUGGUUCAUAGUCCAACUGCUAUCUCCGCCUCCUGUCGCUCAAAGAAUCACGUGCAGGCCACCUCGUGCUCCGUAGCUGUAUCCGGCUGGGCUACUCAUGCGACAAGCUCCUCUUCCAGGUCUGGCAGCCCCCUGUACUUCGUCAAUCUUUCAAAAUUUGAUCCUUUUUUUGCAGGAUGCCGAAAAACACGAUGCAACAUUUAUGAAAAAAGACAUGAAUUUAGAGGAGGAUGCAACAUUGGAACGUAGAAGACCCAGUUCACAAAAAAAACUAAAAAAAUAGCAGGAAUAAGCAGCAGUUUCCAAAAAUGAAGAUGGAGAUGUGUGCAUCCAUACAUGUGUUCUGGACUUAUAUGGUGGUGUGUGCGUGCUGCUGUAUCCUCUUCUGGCCACUCUAAUCUACACCAUCAGUACAAGCCGAUGCAUCACCAAGCAGUUCGACAGGGGUUGCGGGGUUCAGUUCGACGAUGAAGAGCCAGGCAGCCGGCCUUUGCAUCAUGAACUGGCACAGUUCGAUCUUAAUUGAUCGCGUAAAAAAACAACUUCAGCAUGCCAAUGAGACCUUUUCACUGAAUGCAGCAGCAGGAGACACAAGAUCACCUCCGGCGCCGCUGGUCACAUGAAGGCCGUCAAAAAUGGUAUAUUCUCCAUAAAAAGGAGGUUCGGAUGACUAGGGACGCGAGCACCUGCCGGAGAGCUCCUCCUCAAUGAGUAAUUGGCCUUGUGGUGCACUUGUGCUCUACACAUGUUUGUCUUAAUGCCUUUUAAAGAAAAAAACAUGUUUCUAAUGUUCAAUAGUAUGGUCCUUCUCAGCAGAUGUUAUACAGCAUACAUUUUUUUCAGUACAAACUUUUAGAAAGUUUCUUUUUGAACUUCUCACAAUUAAUAUACAUGAACUUGAUUAUCUUUUUAAUGUGUACUGAUAUCAGCUUCGUUGGAUUUUUGUGCGUGUUCUUGUAACACAAUUAGUUCAGAUCUCGAGAGACCAUAAGUUCAAGUUCACUAGUAUUUAUAAAUGUUUAUUGUAGUAUAGUAUUUACAAAUUUCUUAUAAUUUCCAUGGGUCGGGGGCUGUACAUAUUUCUUAUUUCUAUUGCUAUAAGUUCAAGUGAUCAAAUGCUAUAAGCUCGCAUGUUAUUCUACAAUUAGUUCAAGUGAUCAUUGUUUUAUUUUUUUGUGUAUAUGUCUAAGAGUAAACUUUGUGACCUGAACUUUCUACUUACUUCUUAGAGAAGGUCCCUUGGAAAAGAUGACUAGCUUUCCAAGUUGGGUUAUCCUCAUACAGUAUAUAUUUUAAUAUGGAAUAGGAAAAUAUAUUUGCUUUGCAGAGCAUUAGAUUCUCGAAAAGUAGAAUGGUUGAGCUAGUUCAGUUUUUCACUCCAUAAUUUGUUUGCUAUUCGGUUCAUCUAAUUCCAUAUCGUAAGUACAACUCCCUUUAUGUUUUGCAUCUUCAUAUAACACUAAACAGGCACCAGAGGAUAAGGUGAGAAUAUAUACUAAUAAAAUGUGUGGUGGCAUUGCCACAUUUGAAUUUAAACCACUAGCAUUUUUAUACACAAGGGCUUGUCCUGGGAGAGCCCUAUAUAGGCAUGAGCACUACUGUUACAAACUUUAAUCCCCCAUCUUCCGGCCUGCAGAGCAUUAGAAAAAAGUUCAAUUUUGGAAAUUCAUUCAGUUCUCUGGUUAGUAGACUAGUGGUUCAUCUUGCUAAAUCUUGUGGUUUAAAGUUUCUUUUUUGUUAUAGCAGUUCAGUGUGUAUUUUAAGAAGAAAACCCAACAACAACGGCUGCACUGGAGCCGCAGGACUACUAUUGCUGAUAGGUUUGUGAACUAAAAAACAUUCUUUUUAUGUUCAUGUGAUGUUUCAUAUUUUUGUGAACUGAUAGUUGAUGCUCUUUGUGGACUGAUAGAUGAUACUUGUUGUUAACCGAUAAACUAAAUAAAUGAGAUGGAUGUAUUAUCAGGUCGUGAAAAUGAUGUAAAAAAUAUGUGCAAUUCAGUGGAUGAGUAUUAUGUAUGUCCUUCUAAUCUGAAGGUAGUGGCACCACUAAGAAAAACAAAAUAAUCAGUUUUUUGUAGCCAUGGAAUGGGCAUUUGGCUCAGUAAUCUUCCAUUGCUAAAGCGCUCAAGCUGUUCACCCUUACCACCACAAGCCGUUCACCUCCGCCACACAAGGCCGUGUGACGACGCAACUAUCAAAACGUUCACCUCUGCCACAGGAGGCCGAUGCAACGCUAAGAAUGUUUUGUUCUUUUUCAGUACAUGUUUUGUGUGCUUUUUAGUACACCUACUUAAUGAUUCUAUGUCCAAUUUCCCAUGUUUAAGUGUUCUUCCUAUAGCACAACAGAAGUUGUGUGUUAUGCUUAAUAAGCAUUUGAGAAAACCUUGUAUGGAUCAAAACUAGCAUAUGUUCUGUUCUAUUCUUGUAAAUGAAGCUCCACUUUUGUUUUGUUUGAGGUUACUUGACAUAAAAAUUAGUAUAUGUUCUAUUGUAAAAACAUAUCUAAAAUGUCAUGAUGCAUGCUACCAGAAAUCUGAAAAUACACUCAGUUCAGUUCCUAUAUUUUAUUCCAGUUCAAUUUAGAACUAUUUGCAACUGUUCAGACUCGAGUGUUCCUAUAUUUUAUUUCAGUUCAAUUUAGAAGUAUUUACAACUGUUCAGACUUGAAUUUACAACGGAAAAACAUUUGGAAG
Triticum urartu is the source of this 3507-nucleotide non-coding RNA. The record is from RefSeq and is a predicted model, not a curated record. NCBI's taxonomy places the organism in Eukaryota, Viridiplantae, Streptophyta, Magnoliopsida, Poales, Poaceae.